Long non-coding RNA from Triplophysa dalaica, 658 nucleotides. RefSeq lists it as uncharacterized. The transcript has 3 exons. Lineage: Eukaryota; Metazoa; Chordata; Actinopteri; Cypriniformes; Nemacheilidae. The record is from RefSeq and is a predicted model, not a curated record.
UUGAUUCUGCUGAGAGAGUCCUGCCCAUUGUUUUGGGUGCCACCACAACACUCCUGCAGGAAUAAAAGGGCACAUCAUCAUCAUCGCGGCUCCAGUUGUCAAGAGCUGAAAUUGUUAUUUCAUGACUGUCAUUUGUAACUGCAGUUCCGGCAUGACGCCGAAAAAGGAGGCGCUGUUUCGUUAUCAGCAGAGUGAGGUGCUGAAGAGUUGCAGUACAAGAGCUAAUACGAGCUGUAUUAUCUGAGUUUCACGGCUUUUGAGAUGUCGUGAUCCUCUAUUCAUUAAGCUGUAUUGGCUCCCUAUAGUCGCUCGCAUCAAAUUCAAGACUCUGCUCCUGGCCUACAAGACCACCACUGGUUCGGCACCACCUUAUCUUCACUCGCUAAUGCAGACAUAUGUACCCGCCAGAUCCCUACAAUCUGCAAACGAACGGCGUCUUGUGGUGCCAUCCCAAAAAGGUAAAAAAUCUCUCUCACACACCUUCUCCGGAUCUGUUCCACCUAUGUGUGAUCUGCCCGCUACUACAAGAUCUGCAGAUUCUGUAGCCAUUUUUAAGAAACGUCUGAAAACACAUCUCUUCCGUCAACAUCUGACUGAUCUGUUCGGAGUCUAUUUUCUUCUCUACUCUUAAUAAAAAAAUAAAAAAUAAAAUAAUGAA